RNAcentral lists this ribosomal RNA (909 nucleotides) under Cyphellophora oxyspora. Its description in RNAcentral is "LSU rRNA". It matches the Rfam family "Eukaryotic large subunit ribosomal RNA", at positions 37 to 964 of the family's 3401-position model. The record is from RNAcentral. Lineage: Eukaryota; Fungi; Ascomycota; Eurotiomycetes; Chaetothyriales; Cyphellophoraceae.
AGCAUAUCAAUAAGCGGAGGAAAAGAAACCAACAGGGAUUGCCUCAGUAACGGCGAGUGAAGCGGCAACAGCUCAAAUUUGAAAUCUGGCCUCUUUGGGGUCCGAGUUGUAAUUUGGAGAGGAUGUUUCGGGCACGGUCCGGGCUUAAAUUUCUUGGAACAGAAUGUCACAGAGGGUGAGAAUCCCGUCUGGAGUCCGCGACACGACCUAUGUGAAACUCCUUCGACGAGUCGAGUUGUUUGGGAAUGCAGCUCUAAAUGGGUGGUAAAUUUCAUCUAAAGCUAAAUAUUGGCCAGAGACCGAUAGCGCACAAGUAGAGUGAUCGAAAGAUGAAAAGCACUUUGAAAAGAGAGUUAAACAGUACGUGAAAUUGUUGAAAGGGAAGCGCAGGCAACCAGACUUGCGCGUCGGGGUUCCCCCUUGCUUCUGCCUGGGUUACUCCCCGGCGUUCAGGCCAACAUCGGUUUCGGGGGUUGGUUAAAGACCCUGGGAAUGUAUCUACCCUGCGGGGUAGACUUAUAGCCCAGGGUGUCAUGCGACCUCCCGGGACCGAGGAACGCGCUUCGGCUCGGAUGUUGGCGUAAUGGUUGUCUGCGGCCCGUCUUGAAACACGGACCAAGGAGUCUAACAUCUAUGCGAGUGUUAGGGUGUCAAACCCUUACGCGGAAUGAAAGUGAACGGAGGUAGGAAGCCUUAAGGCUGCACUAUCGACCGAUCCUGAAGUUUACGGAUGGAUUUGAGUAAGAGCAUAGCUGUUGGGACCCGAAAGAUGGUGAACUAUGCCUGAAUAGGGUGAAGCCAGAGGAAACUCUGGUGGAGGCUCGCAGCGGUUCUGACGUGCAAAUCGAUCGUCAAAUUUGGGUAUAGGGGCGAAAGACUAAUCGAACCAUCUGGUAGCUGGCUCUGCGA